This 374-nucleotide small RNA is filed under the name Pan troglodytes (chimpanzee). RNAcentral's name for it is "processed transcript". The record is from RNAcentral. Lineage: Eukaryota; Metazoa; Chordata; Mammalia; Primates; Hominidae.
CAAGUCAGUCAGGAGCUGGAAACACAACUGCGGAUGCACCUGGAGAGCAAAGCCACACGCUCGGGAAACUGGGGUGCCCUACGGGCUUCCUGGGCCAGCAGCUGCCAGCAGCUAGAAGACCUACCUCAUCGGGUUGGUGCAGGAAUGUAAAUGAAAUGAUGUGUGUAAAUCGCCUGGCACAUAAUCAAUGCUUUAAGUUUGUGGAAUUGAAUAAACUUGAAGACAUACAUUAAGUGAGCAGUAACACAAAGAGCUGCUUACAUGAGCGCGUUGAUCAACCGGCAUACGCUGUGGGAGUUUCCAGAAAGAGCAGGGUACUGAUUAGUUCUCAGCGAGGGUGCCCCAGGAAGUGGGGACUGAAUGUGGGUCCCAAG